RNAcentral lists this ribosomal RNA (433 nucleotides) under uncultured bacterium. RNAcentral's name for it is "partial 16S ribosomal RNA". It matches the Rfam family "Bacterial small subunit ribosomal RNA", at positions 29 to 507 of the family's 1533-position model. The record is from RNAcentral.
AACGAACGCUGGCGGCAUGCCUAAUACAUGCAAGUCGAACGAAACCUUCGGGACUUGUGGCGCACGGGUUUGUAACGCGUGGGAACCUGCCCUUAUGUUCGGAAUAACUCUCCGAAAGGGGUGCUAAUACCGGACAAUGUCUUCGGACCCAAGAUUUAUUGCCUUUGUAUGGGCCCGCGUUGGAUUAGAUAGUUGGUAGGCUAAAAGCUUCCUAAGGCGACGAUUCAUAGCUGGUCUGUGAGGAUGAUCAGCGACACUGGGACUGAGACACGGCCCAGACUCCUCCGCGAGGGAGCAGUGCGGAAUAUUGCAACGUCGGCGAAGGGAUGAUCCUGCAAUGCCGGGUGAGUGCUGAAAGUAUUAGAGUUGUAAAGCUCUUUUAACCGGGAUGAUAAUGACAGUACCGGGAGAGUAAGCUCCGGCUAACUCCGUG